CCCUUAGAUGUUCUGGGCUGCACGCGCGCUACACUGCUGCAAUUAACGGGUUUUCUGUGCCGAAAGGCUUGGGGAAUCCUUUGAAUAUGCGGCGUGAUGGGGAUAGAAUAUUGUAAUUAUUACUCUUCAACGAGGAAUUCCUAGUAAGCGCGGGUCAGCAGCCCGCGCUGAUUACGUCCCUGCCCUUUGUACACACCGCCCGUCGCACCUACCGAUUGAAUGAUUUAGUGAGGACUUCGGACUGGGGCCGAUGCGGCUUUCGGGCUGCGUCGGUAUUCUGGAAAGAUGUCCAAACUGUAUCAUUUAGAGGAAGUAAAAGUCGUAACA
Molecule: ribosomal RNA, 327 nt
Filed under: uncultured eukaryote
Lineage: Eukaryota
Description: partial 18S ribosomal RNA
Rfam family: Eukaryotic small subunit ribosomal RNA
Source: RNAcentral